RNAcentral lists this long non-coding RNA (3493 nucleotides) under Nicotiana tabacum (common tobacco). RNAcentral describes it as "long non-coding RNA (NTAB_LNC016001)". The record is from RNAcentral. Lineage: Eukaryota; Viridiplantae; Streptophyta; Magnoliopsida; Solanales; Solanaceae.
GCUCACCUAGGAAAAACUAAUCUUUUUUAGAGAAAUAUUAUACAUUCAAGAUUUUAAGCAUCUGCUGUCUGAGCAUCAUCAGCUGCAGCCAAGAUAAGCUCCGGAUGAAUGCUUGACUCUGCUGUCCCGUCGAGUGCAUUAGGCAAUCCCAAUGCCCUUAGCGCAAGGUGUGCUGCCUUCUGCCCUGAUAUCAUCAUAGCUCCAAAAGUUGGUCCCUGAACAAUACAAACACCUCCAAUUAGUUACACUUCAAUUUUACUGUCAAGUUCUUAUAUCUUGGGAUCGGUUAUAUAAGCAAAAUGUAUCCAUUCUACUUUAUCAAGGCAAAUUUGGAAUACUUUUAGACUAGACGCUCUCUACAUCUCACACUUAUCUGUAGGUACAAAUCUAAUGGUGCACGAGUAAUUAUAUAGGAGUUAAAAGUGUGACAAGUUUACUUACCAUUCUUGGUGCUCCGUCAAUUUCAGCAACUUCCAUCCCAGUAACAAUCAUUCCAGGUACAACCUCUCUGGUAAGUCUAACAAUUGCAUCCUCAGCAGCGUUCAUGUCCAAAGCUUUCAUCCCAGGAACAUGGUUGAUCAUGCCAAUGCUCUUAAGCCUCUUAACACCAGUGGCACCCAUGGGACCGUCGUGGCCACAGGAGCUGACCACAAUCUUAGCCUCCAUAACGUUGGGGUCCAUGCAAGAUUGUGUGUCGUGGUUCUGAGAAACCAAAGACCAGUUAGUGACAACACCACCAACUCUUCCGUUCUUCACAAUAAGGUCCUCUGUUGCAACAGCAUUGAAGAGUUUCACGUUUGGCCUGGCCAAAAGCUUGCUCAUGAUGGUUGAGGUGAACAAGGCAGCAUGUUUGAUGACCACGUAGUUGUCUUGCUCGUCAUAGUCUAUGCCUAGCUCGUUCAAGAAGAGAUGUGCUGGCUUACGCACAACCAUGGCCGAGAAGAGUUGUCCUCCUAGCCAGGCACCUCCACCAGGGCUCACUGAUUGCUCAAGUAUGGCCACCUACACAAACCAAGUCAAUUCACAUAAACAACUUAUAACAAGUACAAAUUGGAGAACAUAGGUAUUGUAAUCAGCAACUAUAAUCUAAUCAAGAACAAUUUUAGCAGUUAGAACAUCGAAUAACUUCCCUGUGAUCAUGAAUGCGUGUACCAGCCAGAGGCAGAUCUAGGAUGGGUUAGGUGUGUUCAAUUAAAUUCAUUGACAGGGGUGGAAGCACAAGCCGAACUAUAAGUGCGGCCGAACUCAGUAGCUUUUGUUCAAACAGUGUAUUUGAUGUUUAAAAUUCAUCAAAUAUGUACAAAUAUUAAAUUUAGAACCCAGUAACUAAUACUUGAAGUCGUCAGUCAUGUACUAAGAUCCAAAACCCAUAAGGUUGAAAUCCUAGUUCCGCACAACUUACAAACUCUAGAUCCUAAAUUCAGGAUAAGAUUAUAUCAAAAGCAGUUUCACUCGUUCACAAGUGUAUAUACAACUUUCGCUAAUAAACAUGUGAUUUUUUCUCUUGAUCGGACUCGCUCAAGUUGCACAAGGUCUAAGGAAAAAGGUGUCACAUGAUUUGUGGGUACAAGUAAACUUACAAGUACCUUUAACAAGAAGCCCGUGUUUUUUUCCCCUCCAGCUGCCAAGUCUUAUAUGAAUUUUUUUUAUCCUUUUCGAUUACUAGAAAUACAAGCGAAGCCAAAAAAACAAAUUCCAAAAUUUCCAUCUUUCCGCUAUCAGAAUUUAAUUGAAAAUGUCCAUUAGGCACAUGUCAUAGGCUCUGUUUUAAAAGGCGUUUCUAGGGCGAGCCCCGGGGCGUACCAAAAAAGCCUCGGGGCGAUGGUGUGGGGCGAAAGUCUCAUGAGGCGUAAGGCGUACGCCACGGGCGUUCGGGCCGCGUUUUUUAAUAAGUAGCAAGCCCCAAAGACUUUUUCAAAUUAAAAUAAAAUUUGUUGAAUUAGUCCUUUAUAUAAUACCUAAAUUCUNNNNNNNNNNNNNNNNNNNNNNNNNNNNNNNNNNNNNNNNNNNNNNNNNNNNNNNNNNNNNNNNNNNNNNNNNNNNNNNNNNNNNNNNNNNNNNNNNNNNNNNNNNNNNUGGGGCACACAUAUAUAUAGUUUUCUUCAAUUUUUAUGCAAUUUUACCUGUUUAUAAAUAUUUACUGUCAUUAUAUUAUUUUAUAAAAUAUUAAAACUAAAUACCUAUGGGGCUUACGCCCCGCUGAGGCAUGUAUAAUGUCUCGCCUUACGCCCACGCCAUUUAAAACACGAAUCAUAGGUGCCAAUUAUUCUUCCGCACAAAAAAUCUUGAGAAUUUAAAUGAAAAAUUAUAGGGAAAGCUUAUUUGAAGCUAAAUGGUUUUGUGGGUCUACGUAACUUAUUUAUAGUUUUAUGACCCUAUCUUAUUUUUUACAAAUGAGAGAUUUACGUGAGAGAUCUAUUUUAGACAUAAGAGAUGUAAAAAUGGCACUUUCUUAAUUUCAAUAUUAUGGCUAUGAUAUCCCAUUUCCUCGCUGAUUUGAACCGUAUGUCAUCGUUUGGUACGCAUGCGAAAUUAUUCCGGAAUUAUAGUCCUCCCAGGUGGGAGGUGGGAUAAAUUCUGUAUCAAAUUUAUGGGAUAAGGUGGGAUAACAUAGAUAUCCAGUACCAUUUAGUACCAAACAUUAUCCUAGUACCAUUUAGUACGUUUAUCACAUCUUAUCCUAGUACCAAACAUUUCCUUAUCAUAAAAUAUUUUAAAAUUAGUUAACAAAGUAAACACAAGCCAAUAUAUGGUCUUUCGUCACUUUUGUCUUUUUGUAUCACAAUAUGCCAGAUACAUAUGUUAAAGCAUCCUGCAGCAGGCCUAGAUUAAUCUCAACUUAAAUUUGGAUAUUACUGUGGGAAAAAAUAAAGAAUAAAAAGGAUACCUGAACGUUAGGGUUCUUGCUGAUUUCAUAAGCACAAGAGAGACCAGCAGAGCCAGCGCCAACGAUGACGACAUCAGUGUCAGCAUAGGUGAUCAUGUCGGUCAUGUACCUACGUGUCAUCUCGCGAGAAACGAUGGAUUCCUUGAUUGGGUUGAAAGUGAAAGCGUUAAGAUCAUAAGGAGGAGGAGAGGAAUCAGCAGACAUGGAAAUGGUCAUGUUUUGUUGGGCGGAUUUAACAGGUUUAAGUCUAACUUGUGAAAAAAGAGGGAUACCAGAGAAGGAUGAUUUGUGGGUGUCCAAGAAAUUGGUCUUGGAAACAACAACAGAGGAGGCCAAGGUUGAUGCCAUGGUUGCCAUAGACAAAGCUUCAAGAUCUUGAGAGAGAGAUGACUUCUUCUUUUUUGAGAAUUGGAAGAAUGAAAGAUUGUUUUGAGUGAAGAAGUGAAGGGGAAGAGACGGUAUUUAAAGCAGUGACAAGUAGUGAGUGAUGAGAAAAUAUCUGGGAAUAGUUGAGGACUUGAGGAGUACGUGGACACAAGAAUCCGGCUCCCCUGUUUCUUCCAUUUGCUUUGAAUACCUACGGACUCCUAACCAAACUUAUCGCAU